UACAGAGGGUGCGAGCGUUAAUCGGAAUUACUGGGCGUAAAGCGUGCGUAGGCGGAUAUUUAAGUCAGAUGUGAAAGCCCUGGGCUCAACCUAGGAAUUGCAUCUGAUACUGGAUGUCUAGAGUAUGGUAGAGGAUAGCGGAAUUUCCGGUGUAGCGGUGAAAUGCGUAGAUAUCGGAAGGAACACCAGUGGCGAAGGCGGCUAUCUGGGCCAAUACUGACGCUGAGGCACGAAAGCGUGGGGAGCGAACAGG
RNAcentral lists this ribosomal RNA (253 nucleotides) under uncultured bacterium. RNAcentral's name for it is "partial 16S ribosomal RNA". It matches the Rfam family "Bacterial small subunit ribosomal RNA", at positions 524 to 776 of the family's 1533-position model. The record is from RNAcentral.